This 253-nucleotide ribosomal RNA is filed under the name uncultured prokaryote. Its description in RNAcentral is "partial 16S ribosomal RNA". It matches the Rfam family "Bacterial small subunit ribosomal RNA", at positions 524 to 776 of the family's 1533-position model. The record is from RNAcentral.
GACGAAGGAUCCAAGCGUUAUCCGGAUUCAUUGGGUUUAAAGGGAGCGUAGGCGGACUUAUAAGUCAGUGGUGAAAGCCGAUAGCUUAACUAUCGAAUUGCCAUUGAUACUGCAGGGCUUGAGUACAGAUGAGGUAGGCGGAAUUGACGGUGUAGCGGUGAAAUGCAUAGAUAUCGUCAAGAACACCGAUAGCGAAGGCAGCUUACCAAGCUGUAACUGACGCUGAGGCACGAAAGUGUGGGGAUCAAACAGG